GACGAACGCUGGCGGCGUGCUUAACACAUGCAAGUCGAACGGAAAGGCCCUGCUUUUGUGGGGUGCUCGAGUGGCGAACGGGUGAGUAACACGUGAGUAACCUGCCCUUGACUUUGGGAUAACUUCAGGAAACUGGGGCUAAUACCGGAUAGGAGCUCCUGCUGCAUGGUGGGGGUUGGAAAGUUUCGGCGGUUGGGGAUGGACUCGCGGCUUAUCAGCUUGUUGGUGGGGUAGUGGCUUACCAAGGCUUUGACGGGUAGCCGGCCUGAGAGGGUGACCGGCCACAUUGGGACUGGGAUACGGCCCAGACUCCUACGGGAGGCAGCAGGGGGGAAUAAUGCACAAUGGGCGGAAGCCUGAUGCAGCAACGCCGCGUGCGGGAUGACGGCCUUCGGGUUGUAAACCGCUUUCGCCUGGGACGAAGCGUGAGUGACGGUAAUGGGUAAAGAAGCACCGGCUAACUACGUG
RNAcentral lists this ribosomal RNA (468 nucleotides) under uncultured bacterium. Its description in RNAcentral is "partial 16S ribosomal RNA". It matches the Rfam family "Bacterial small subunit ribosomal RNA", at positions 28 to 507 of the family's 1533-position model. The record is from RNAcentral.